RNAcentral lists this long non-coding RNA (11903 nucleotides) under Apis mellifera (honey bee). Its description in RNAcentral is "uncharacterized LOC107964959, transcript variant X3". Lineage: Eukaryota; Metazoa; Arthropoda; Insecta; Hymenoptera; Apidae. The record is from RNAcentral.
UUUUGUCUAAUUUCAGGGACGACACGAAAGAAAUCUUUCGAUGAAUUUACGAAUUUUAACAUAUGUGCGAUGUAAAUCUAAAUCUAAAAGUACAUCCUUUUGGAAAAUAAAGGGAGAAUUUUCGUGGAGGAUUUUUUUCAACAUGGUGGAAAAUAAUCGAGACGCUUAAGUGCAGAGGAAUUCGACCUAUUUGAAGGAAUAUCAACGCUCUAAUUGGGAAAUCCUUUUUCCUAAUUGGGAAAUCCAACUGUCGCGAGGAUCCAUCACCUGGUCGAGCAGGAAGGAGCAAUCCUCGUGUGACAAUCCCCGUUUCCGGCCAGUCAUCCGGAAGUUUUAGAGGAGGGGAGGAAGGGGUUGUUUGUCCAAACCGCCGGAAUUCGAGCUGUAAAUAUAGUUUGGGAGGGAGUGACGAGGGCGCGAACGAGGGAGAAAUUCGAUUUUGCCUCGCGGAAUCUGCGGUCGGCAGAGGUGUUCCGCAGGAACGUAACGACGACAAAGCGUGGAAACCACGCGUGCCAUCUCGGCAAUCCGGCUGUCCUAACUAGGAGGCCGAUAAAUGGACGGCUUGAUGACUUGAUAAUUUAUGGGGAGGAGACGGUGAGAGGAGGUUGGUUUAAUUAAUCUUUCUGAAGGGGUUGUAAGUAAUUGAACGAGUUAAGUUUUAAGAUAUUUUUGGAAAUAUUUUUUUAUUGGAAAUUACGUUGUAGCCUCGUAUUAUAGUUUCGUAUGAGAAAUUCCUGUUGUUAAUCGAUCGAUAUUUGGAUUAUCGAUUUAUUAUUAAAAGAAAGAUUUAAUAUUCGAGAGUGAGAUAUUACAGUAAAAUUUCAUGGAAAGGAUUUGGAAGAGUUGUAUCGAACGAGUUAAGUUUUAAGAUAUUUUUGGAAAUAUUUUUUUAUUGGAAAUUACGUUGUAGUCUCGUUUCUUGUAUGGGAUCUGGUUGUUAAUCGAACAAUAGUUGGAUUAUCGAUUAAUUAUUAAAAGAAAGAUUUAAUAUUCGUUUGAUAUUCGAGAGUGAGAUAUUACAGUAAAAUUUCAUGGAAAGGAUUUGGAAGAGUUGUAUAAUAAUUUUUCUAAACUAAUUCGUAAGGAAAUCAGUCAGGAUCCAAGGAUCUUUAAACUUGUUAAGCCGCAGUCGUACGUAUUCUACCGAAAAUAUUCCAUUAGAAAGAAACUUUCACGGGCACUUUAAUUUUGAAGGAAACUCGAGAGAAACAUGUGCUAGUCGUGCGCCUGAGGAUAUAUAAAUGAAGAGAAACAAUUUUUCAGAAGAAUUAUUAGAAUAGAGGUGGAAAGAUUGUUUAAAAGUUUAAUAGAAACAUAUAUUUUUUUUCAGUGUGAUUGAAGAACGAAGAAAUAUAAUAAAAAUUUCAAAACAGAAAAUGACAAUUAGAUUGUACGAAUGAAGAGUGGAAAAUAAUUUCGUAGCUUUAUGAAAACUUUACUAAAAGAAGAAAAAAAAAAGAGGAGGAGGAAAUAUGCAUGCGGUAUAAAAUAUUCAAAUAAAGAAAACAGUGGAAGAGUGAAGGAUACUCUUAUUUUUAAUUGUAAUUGUAUAAAAAAAAAAUGAAGAAAGUUUUUUUUCAGAACAAGAUGGAAUUAAAAAUUCCCUUAUAACUCUAUCCAAACAAAAGAAAGGUACAUCAAGUAUCGAAUACCCAAAAUGAAGAAACCUUCGCAAUGGAAUUCUAAAGAUAUAUCCACAAUUUGCGAAAAAGUAUCAAGAAUCAAUAAAUAAAUCGAGAAAUAGAUCCAAAAGAAAAAAAUUGAACCUGUCUUCAAAACUUCAAAAUUCCAAUAGAUUAUAAAAAUUCAAUUUUCAACCCCCCAUCUAAAAGCAAAACUAACUUCAACCUCAAAAAGAGGAAAAGAAAAAGAAACAAAAUUAAAUGGAGAAAGAAAAAUUCCUCUAAAAAAAGAAGAAGAAGAAGAAGAAGAAGAAGAAUCUCAAAAGAGGCAUGAAAAUUCGAUUUCUAAACAACGGAACGCAAUCAAGGCGUUCCAGUUUAUCCAUUAUUGCCAACAGAGAAAUACACUCGUCCCCUAUGUCGAGUUAUCUCUUAACAAAUUCUUUGCCCCCGCCUCGAGAUAUCCUUUUUUUAUUUUGCCUUUUCAUCCAUCGUUCACGCAUUGUUUCCACCAUCAUCGCCAGAUACCCGAUCGCGUAAUCAGCGCGUCGAACCCCGUACAAUAAGACAAUGCAAUCCUCCUCUCUCUCUCUCUCUCUCUCCUCUUCCUCUUUAUCCUCUUUCCAUGCUUUUUCUUUUCUUUUUCUCUUCCUCUAUUUUUUUAUCGAGAGGAGAAAAAAAGGCUCACGUUCCACGAAUUAAGUUACGUUUCGAUUUAAUCAUCGGGAUUGAAGUUUCCUUCGAAGAAAGAUCGAUUCGAAUCUUUCGUAUUUUUCGCGCCAAAUUGGACAUGGAUAUAUUAUUGUGAACAAUUUCUUUUAUCUUUUUUUUUUUUUAUUUGGAUCGUCAUGGAGAAUCGUCCAAGAAAACGGAGGACUUUUAUCGAGUUUCGAGGGCCUUCGAUUGAACGAACCGACGAUGGCCUAUUUUUAUUUCCGCAAUUUCGGCGCUUUGGGGUGAGAGAGAAGGAAAGAGAGAGAGAAAUUGAGCGAAUUUUCGAUGAUCGAGACUCGGAGGAAUUUGUGUUGCAACAUGGACAAACAUUCGGCAAACUGAAGUUGUAAGGAAAGUUUACAGAAAAGGAUUUUCAAUUUCAUUUAGGAGGAUAAAUAUUUCUCUACUUAACAGAGAAUUUCAUGUAAGAUUUUCGAAGGAGGAACGCUUGAUAUUUGCACGAGAUAUAAACGAGAUGAAAAGACUCUUAACUUUAUUCUUAUAAUCAAACCAAGCUGAAUUUGUCUCGAUCCACGAUGUGAAUAACAAAUCAAGCUUUAUAAACAUUAAAACAAGAAGUGGAAAAAGAAAAAAAGUUAAUGGAUCUGUUAAAUUUAUCUCGAUCCAUCCACGUGAUCGCGAGUUCCAUCAAUUUAUCGAGCCUAACCCCGCUUGUCAUCGCCAUUACCAAUUCCCCUCCCUCCCCCCUUUUCCUCAAUCACUUCCUCCAACGAACCCAUUAACCACGCCUCCCAACCCAAAUUCCCAUUAUUCAAUUCAACGCGAGUGAAAUUACUUUCCAUCCAUUGUUUCACCUCCCAAAAUAUUCACUUCGUUUCCCUCCCUUCCCUCCUCUUCACGAAACUAUCGAAUUUCGCGGGAAAUUCGAACGAGAAGCUCGCCGCUCAAACAUGGAAACGCUUUUUCGAAUACAUCGACGAGAUUAUAAACUCGAGCACCUUCGAAUGACCACAGACACAUUUUGAAUGAACAGCCAUUAAGGGGAAAUUGAACCUCUUCUCGGUAAACAGGAGUGUAAUAAUUAUUUUUAAAGGAAACUAGAUGAAUGCCGUGCCGAGUUUUCUGGUCGAAGAAUUAAUCCUCCAUUAGGAGGGAGGGAUUUGUGGAUUUCUGUGGCGUAAUUUCUUCGUUGCAGCAAGGAGUAAAGCGCAAGUGGAAAUUUUCGUUCUUGGAAUUGAAGGGAUUUUAAUAAUAAAAAUUGGUAAUGGGAUAAAAAAAAUUCAGAGAGAUAUGUAAAUAAAGUGUUGUUGGUCAAGUAAGACGAGUAACAUGAUAAAUAGUCGUAUUGAGAGUAGAAAUGGAGGAGGAUGGAUAAGUAGAAGAAGGGGAGAAUUGGCAAAUAGAAUAAAAUAAUCAUGAGUCAAGUGGAGGCAAUUUGUCAAACAAGCUAAAGAAAAGAUGGUUGAAAAGAUAGAAAAAAAAGAAUAAAUAAACGGCACUGUUAAUUGCAAUGGAAUUGAUAUGUUGAAUUAGAUUAGAAGAGUUUCGAAAAACUUUUGUCGUAUAGAUAUUUGUUAUAAUAUAGAAAAUCUUUUAAUUAAUCGAAUGGUGAAGUUUUUUGGAAUGAAAGAGGUUCUAAAAAGUGUGUAGCUUCGACGAUUAUUCAAUUAUGUUUCUUCACACUGCUACGAUUUAUGGGAAGAAUAUAGGCAAGAAGAUUGUGAAAUCGAGCAAUCGAGAUGUUCAAGGAUGGUUGACGACCUUGACGUUGCAUUAUUUCAAAGAAUAGAAAUUUAUUCUUAGAGAACUGACGUAGAAUCGACGAUAUUUACUCCACAACCUUUGGAUUCGUGAACAAAAUAUUUUUUAACACAAUCUUCUCCUCGAAUUCAAUUUCGAUUAUAAAUUUCCUAAACGAUCGUGAAUAUUAUAUAAAGUCCAUCCAUUUACAAAAAAAAGAGUAAGAAAAAUUCACAGAACGAAAGAAUGAUAAUUCAUUUCUGUUAAACCACAAGCAACCCUUCAAAAAAUCUACAAAAAUACAAAAUUCACGUGACAAGAAAAUAAUAAAAAUUUUCCCGAUGAUUCGACCACGAGUAAUCUUCAAAAAACUACCAUAAAAUUACAAUCUCCACUCAUCGCAAUAAUCAAAAUAUUCGAUCGAAAAACCAGAGAAGAAGAACAUAAAAAUGGAAACACUCGCUCUGACAAAUCAGACAAAAUCCACUUGCCAAUUUCAAGGCUCAAUCACAAUAAUUUUUCCACAUACUUAGCAACAGUUAAACGUCUUUAGACGUCUUAGACUAAGGUGGACGGAAAAUCCACGCGAGACGAUCUCGUAAUUAAGGGGUUGAACGGUAUUAAAAUCGGCGAAAAGGGGUUGUACAUAGAGCGAGAGCCUUUAGAAAUUUCUCUCGAUCCUCUCGGAUCCUUCUCUCCUCGACAAGUUUGGCCGCUCGUUACUCGAGCCGAGCCAUUAACCUUUGAAAAGAAAUCCUCCUCGGUCUUUUCUUCCCUCCCCCGUACUUCCGGAUAAUCCUCUCCUUUCGAGGGGUCUCCCCCGAAAAUUUGAAAGUCGACGACCCGUUUUAGAUUUUCUUCUCCAUUUUUUUUUUUUCUUUCGCUCCAUUUCGAUCUUGAUUCUGUUUGGUCGGACGAGAUGGAGUGGAACUAUUUUGCAGAAACGGUUCUCGAAUAAUUGUGGUUGAAGGGUAAGAAGAUUUGGCGGAGAGAUUCUGGUACGGUGGGCUGUGUUUUACGAGACGGUUUAACGAGUGGGGAGAAACCGUUUAACUCGUCGCGUUUGGCGGUGUGUAUCGUUUAAUUGUAAAUUGUGGGCAACUCUAUUGGGAGAUAAAUGAAGUUCAAAUGGAACGCUGAUGGCGCUAAUGAACGUGUACUAGGUUUCUGGGAUUUCGAAUUCUGUUGUUGAUUAUAACACUUCUUUUUUAUCAAAAAAUAUUGUUGGAUAUACUUACGACGUUCACAAUUCGUUCACGAUAAUACGUAUAUCGUUAAUCAGAAUAUUAUAACUUUUUAAACACAAAAGAAUUCAACCAAGAAGAUGAAAAAUCAAAAAGAUAAAAAUUAAACACAAUCCACCCUUACCUCCCCCCCAAAAAAAAGAAUCUCAAAUAAUCACCUUCACCUAAUUAUUCCAUCCCUGUCUCACCCCGCAGCAUCAUUAAGAAUGCAAACCCGGCACGGAAUCUCGGGAACAUCAGCAGCGUGAAAUCGCAGCCUCCCCCUCCUCCCCCUCUUAAUGGGACGAUGCGACGUCCCGGAAGCGCGAAAAGGCGCGGGAGACAAAGACUCCCCUCUCGAAAGGAGGGCGAAAGAAAGAGGAGGAAGAAAAGCAACCCCUCCUCCUCCUCCUCCUUUUCCUCCUCCUUCCCUCUCUCCCUUCGUUUUUUCAUUCGCCAACUUCUCGAGGUGGCGAGAAAGAAACGAGCAAAGUAUCCUCCGCUUAACGCAGAGUCAACUCGCCGCGGUUUCUUAACGAGAAAGGAGGGGUCGAAUGGAGGAGGAGAGAUAGAAAGAGAGAGAGAGAGAAAAGGCGCGGAGGAUGGAGAGAGAGAGAGAGAGAGAGAGACGGGGAGGAAGUUGGCCGAGAGACAGACGGCCUAUUCAUCGAGCAGCUGCACCCCGGCCCGCGUUUCGCGAUAUUAAAGGGCGCCACGGGUCGACCUGUAUCGGCGCCCGUCGCGACGUCGGCGUCGUGGAUAUACGCGCCGUAAACCUGGCAUGUACACGGUGUCCGCGAAAUAAAUCCCCCGCAAUUCUUUCGUUUAAACGGAAAUUCAUCGCGAUAUCCGCCGAGUCGGAUGGAAGGAAUGGGAGGGUUGAAACCCCCUCGAGUAAACUUGGAUUAAUGUCAAUAAUAUUUUAUGUUUAUUCCGUGAUUGUUUCUAAUUCUAACGCGUUCUGAUUUUAUAAUUGAUUCUUUUUUUUUUAGAGUGGUUGUGUAAAGGAUUUUACGUUAUUUUAUCGAUUGGAUGGUUAAUUUAUUAUGUACCGUUCGUAUUGUGAUUUUUUAUUUAUAUGGAAAUGGAUUCGAAUCUUUUAUAUUGAAGAGGAUAUUUUUUUGAGUAUGUUUAAAUCUUGAUGGAAUAGAAAUUUUCGUGAAUUCUUCUUAAUUAUUCUUUUUGUUAUUCUAUAUCUAUCUUAUAUUCCCUGGAGCAUUCUUCAUAAUCAGUAAAAAAAAAAGACAGGAAAACAAGACAUCAGAGGGUUAAGACUGUAGAUUUGCUCGCAUGGCGACCAUUAUAAGAGGAGAAAUUAAAAUUAGUAAAAAAAAGAGGAAAACGAGACAUCGAAACGUUAAGACUGUAGAUUUGCUCGCAUGGCAUCGACCAUUACAAGAGGAGAAAUUCUUAAGAGGAAUAUAAAAUGAAAAUAUAGAGACAUUCGUAAAAAGAAACAAAUGUGAUUGAUAGAGCAUCGAGGGGGUGAAAUUGAAGAAGAAAAGGAAUGUAAAGGAAAUAUAUAUCAUGAUGAAUCAAAGGAUUCAAAGGUUUCGUCAAUUUUAUCAUUGAUCGUAUUUAUAGUUAAUUUAUCAGACGAUCGAUAGUGAUGGGUUUAAACUGCGCAAAAUUACUGUGGAAUUUUCUCGAAUACAUUCGAAUAACGAGAUACGGAAAUUUGCAAUUUAAUUGCAAAUUUAAUGUAUUUACAGUUAAUUUAUAAUGACAGGAAGUUUGGUAUUUGACUAUUUGCAUAAAUUCCACGAAUCCAAUCCCGCUGGCGUGGAAACGUUCGUUGUGGAAAUGAUCGUUUACGAUCGAGAUUUACAAUCGUUCGAAAACUUUUUCCUUAAUUUGCAACACCAGUAAACCUUUGUACAAGAAAUAUCAUUGAUGCUGUAUAAUCGUUGCGAAAUUAAUAUUCGAUUCAUCGGAAAAUUGUUCUCGAAAGGAUUUCGAGUUUCUGUAAUUUUGGUGAUUGAACGUUUGAUGCAUGGAAUGGUUAUUGGAGGUGAUGAGUUUUUUGACAUGGGAUAAAUUCAUUGCAAGUUUCGUUUUAUAAAUUGUACGCUACAAGUAUAUUGGCGUUGAAGAGAAAUAUUGAAAAUUCGGUAUCGACAUUGUUUGAUCGUUGUAAAAUUUAUACAUUAUUUUAUGCUUCUGGAAAACAAUAUUCAAAAUUAAAAAAAAAAAAAAGAAUAUAUAUAUAUAUUUGUAAUUUUAACGAUUGAAAAAUGGUUGAUUAGUUUCGAGCAGAUAUAUAUUUUUAUAGAAUUUCUAUGAAUAUGUUGUAUACGUAUUGCUAAUAAUAAGGUAUUGUAAAGGAAGUAUUGGAAGGAUCUGUUGGCAAAGCAGUUAUAUGAAACAGCCAUACCAAUUGAAUAUACAUGCAUAUAUGUAAAAAUGGUGUUAAAGCUAUCAUCUGACUAUUUUUUCCUUUUUUCAUGGACACCUUUGAAAAUAAAGAAAGGAAGAAAAUGUGUUUUCACAAUGGAAAAGUAUCGACCAAAUUUCCCUGACGAAAAAUAUUCCAAGCUUUUAAUUAUUUAACGUAACGAGAUGGAAGUGAAUUAAAAACUCUUUAAAAACAAAAAUACUGUGGAGAGUGAAAAAAGUAAAAAUAAUUAAAUAAAUAGAAAAAGUUAAUGGAAGAGGAACUUUUUAAUAUUAAAUUAGAAAUGUGAACGAGCUAAUUGUUUAGAAUUAGCGAAUAAAUAAUUUUUCAUUCGCAAAAUUCUGCGUCAAACUUAACAAAUUCUUGACAGAUAUUCCGCCAAGAAAUUGCAUGAAAAUAUAAUUUCGCCGGUUUCGCGGCACUGAGUCUGACUACAAACGAUUCAUUUCCCUUUACAGUGGUUAGAGUCGGUUACUUGCACGUAUUCUGCACUCUGUCUCCUCUAAAAUACCUACGUACGUUAUUCCGAGAAUCGUCAUUGAAUCAGAGAGUUUAUAAAAUUUCAUAUAAACAUCGUGCGCGAGUUUCAACGUUGCGCGAACAUUUGCUGGCAUAAAAACGAUUUUCUUUUUUUUUUCGCAUCGCGAAAACAAAAACUUUUUUCAGUGGGGAAAAUUUUGAAAGUAGAAAGAACAAUCGAUUGGGGAAUGAAAUGAAACGAAAGAAAGGAUAAAUUGAAACAGUUGAAUUUUUUUUUUAAAUUUAACCAUCAGAAUUACAACUAAUUUAAACAAAAGUUAAGAAAAGAAUUAAAUAAACAAUUUUGAAGAAAUUUAGAAAUAUUCUGUUCUGAGGAAUAAAAUAAAUGAUUUUAGAAAAAUCAGAUCAAAUAUUUUAAUGAGAAGUAAUAAUAAAAGACGAGCUUUCUUACUUUUGCUCGAGUAAAUAUUCCUACAUCGAGUAUGAAAUUUGCUUUUUCGAUAGAAAAUCGUAUUUUGGAAUAAAAACCAGGCCGAAAAUCAACAAUAGAACAUCGUCGAAAAUGGAAUGAAAAAUUCCAUUCGAUAUUUGCUCGAGAACGAAACUCGAGUCAAUGGAACAAAUAAUGGUCAAGGGAAAAAAAGUUAUAAUCGAUUAGCGAGAAGUCGAAGAUGAAGGACGAGCGACAAAGUUAAUUAAUGUGAGAGCUUUGAUCUUUAAGGGAAAAAAAAAUGGUUUAAUUUAAAUUCGAAUCCUUUAACGUGUAUCUUUUUCUCGUUAAAAUUCAUCAAAUCGAAAUCUCUAUAACAAAUGGCAACAAAUUUCUGAAUAUCAGAUUGGAAAUACUUGAAAUAAUAAUUGAUGUGUUUUAAUAAUUGUAUAAAUUUAUUUUGAUAUUUAAAAAAUUUGUUGGAAGAAAGUUAUAAGAUGAUUAAAUAAAUCAUUUGUUAGUUAGGCAUUUGUCCUCGAACAUUAAAAAGUUUCGACAUUACCAGCUUCUAAACUUGAAUCGUGGAUGGGAGAAGUUAAAGAGGAUUGAUAAAAUUUACGACACGUUUGUCAGGGAACUUAGCUUUUUGACGUAAGACAGAAAUAUCCAAGUUAAGCCUCGAGGCUUAAGAAGCUUCCUCCACUCCAUCAGGAUUAUGCAGGGGAGAGCGUCAAAAUGAUGAUAUAAAAGUUGAUCGAAUUUGUGAAUUGAAACACAUCCUCUCUUCUAAAUUUUCUUUGACACAAUAAUCUUAAUAUUAUAAUAGUAUCGGCGAAUUUAACCUCGAAUAAACCUUCCAUCUUUAUUUUUCUCUCUUUUCAAAAAAGAAUAACACUUUCGGAUUAAAGUUUUUUUUUUCGAACAAACUCAUAAUUUUAACAUCUCUCUUGUUGAACAUAACCUCAAAUGAACUUUAAAACUUCUGAUCCCUCUUUAUUUUUUUUCCUCCCCCCUCCAUUUAUUCUCAUGUCGAAAUUCUCUUAGCAAACCAAGCUCGAAACCACGAUUCAAAACGUCUCAACACCCUCGAAAUAUAACCUCGAAUAAAUCUUCCUGAGAUUAAACUUCUCAACGCAAGCCCGGUAUACAUCAUCAUUUUUCUCCCGUUAGUUUACAACAUCUCGUCCACGAGAAUGCAUGAAUAUUCAAAAGACGAGCACGUGGACACGUAUCUAUAAUAUAAUACAAAUAACUGGACGUCCCCUAAUGUUACACCGUAUUACGUAUCUACGUAUGCAUAAUAUGGUGCAGCCAUGAAACGGCGGCGCCAUUGUCUCUGCCGGGAUAAUGGGGCGGCCAUUGAGCGCGGGAUAAAUAAAUAAAUCCCUUGGCAAACGCACAUUUCACGAAUUCAUUAACUCGCAACGGUGAUGGUCGUUCGACCGUGCGAGAACAAAAGCGUGAAAAGGCGUGCAAACGCGAUAAGUCGCGUGUUCUCGACUAUCGUGAUCAAUGGCCCUUCCUCCCAUCCAAUUGGCGAAUGUCGUUGAUUCUUCCAUGAGAAUCGUUCCAUCCGAGAAUGGAAUAAAAUUCCAGAGAUAUCUCCUGUGCAUAUGCACUGAUAACGUUUAUUAUUCCGCGUUUGUUAAUCGAAAGAUUUCUCCUUUUCAAAUUGGAAAUUGAAGAAGUGUAUAUUAUUUAUUCUAAAUCUUUAUUUCAAUUAUUAUUUGUCGAUAAGAAUUCUUGAUUUAUUAUCGAUUCUGAUUCAAUUUUAUCUAUUUUGUUCUAAAGUUGAAUUAAGAAAAUUUGAGAUGAUAUCUCGCUCGUCGUUUAACGCCAGAAUUUGUGUGGUUUCUCAAUUAGAACUGGAGGAAUGUUGCACGCGAAUCUUGCAGAUGAAUAUUGUAGUCGAUGUAUUGUUUCUGAAACCAUUCUGGUUGCGUCAUUAAAAUUACGUGAAAUUUAUUACAACGCAAAAUCAAGAUUCUUCCAUCGAAAAGACGAAACUCUCGAAGAAGAAUUAAUUCAGUUAUGAAAUUUUAAAAAUUUCAAGAAAAACAAUUAUCGAUAUUUCCUCCGAAUAUUUAGCAUUUGAAUAAACAUCGAUGAUUUUAUUUUCAUCACGAAAACGAAAUUGCACGGAUACAAUAAUUUUAAUUUCGUUCCGUGUGAUCGAACCGCGUUUAUUCCUAUUGUUUUAUCGCGUUCAUGAAUUAUCGAUGGCCCAAUGAAAUUCGAUCUUUGUAUCCCGAUAUUUAUUUAUCAUUAUUAUCAGUUAUUUAUGAUUAUCGUUGCGCGUUUGUUAUUUCGAAGCCGUCUAUUAAUAAUUAAUUUGCGUACAGAAUAUUAGCAUACAUAAUUGAAUGGGAGCGUGAACGAAAUGGAAGUGGAAAAAAAAAAAAAUAGUACGAAGAAGAAAAUUUCUUUCUGGAAUAUCGUAAUUCCCCGUUUGGCAGAGUAACGAUGAUAUUAUUGCGACCGAUUCUUCUAUUUUCUAGGCGAGGAUAUAAUGCUUCCUGGCCGAAGUUCGGGAGAAUAUCACCGAGAUGAAGCUUGUUUAAGGAGAUAAUACUUUUAUAGAGUGAAUUCUUUUCCUCUUCGCGAGGAUGUACGAGAUAAUUCCCGAAAGAGGGUCGAUAUUGUAAUACUUUGUGUAACAUUAUUUUUGCAAAAGAGAUUUUAUUGCUCGUUUCGAAAGGAAUACAUUUAUUUUUUUUUAACUAUUUUGAUUAUUUUUGUAUAAUUAUAUAUAUAAAUUUUCUUUGGAAAGAAUUUAAUAAAAAAGAGAUUGGAUGAGUGAAGAUAAUGGAAUGAAGAUAAUUCGAUAAUUAAUUUUUUCUUGAAGUGUAUCAUCGAUAAUGGGUAAUUUUAUCGAUAUGCAAAAUGCAAGAACUUUCAUUUUGAGGAAUAACGAUAAUGGGGUGGUUAUUCAAUUUGACUGCAUUAUCUACUUCUACUAUCUUUUAACAGUUUUCCAUCAAGAAUUUUCAAAGAUUAUUAUAUUUCCCAUACUUUCAAUUAUUAUUUCCAUGUUUUAUUAUUAUUUUUUUCUUCCCUUAUUUUACGGCAUCAUCCUUAUUUCACAAUUUAACAUUUAACAGGAUUAAAUCUAAUUUAUUCAACGCAUCGAAAAUUCACUCUAAAGAGUAAGCUCGAAAAAAGUUAUCAAAAUAAAGUCCCUAGCCGUUCAAUACUCCCAUCCACGAACGUUCUCCCACGAACUCGAAUCGCGAAUAACACGACUAAAACCGAAUUCCACUGAACUCCAUAAAUCCUUCGUCGAUCUUAAACAACGAUCGAUCGCGAACCUUUCCCAAUCGCUAUUGAUACAAAUG